CCUACGGGAGGCUGCAGUGGGGAAUAUUGCACAAUGGCGGAAACCCUGAUGCAGCGACGCCGCGUGAGUGAAGAAGUACUUCGUUAUGUAAAGCUCUAUCAGCAGGGGAGAAAAUGACGGUACCUGAGUAAGAAGCCCCGGCUAACUACGUGCCAGCAGCCGCGGUAAUACGUAGGGGGCAAGCGUUAUCCGGAGUUACUGGGGGUAAAGGGAGCGUAGACGGCGUUGCAAGUCUGGAGGUAAAGGCGGGGGGUCAACCCCCGGACUGCCGUUGAAACUGUACGGCUGGAGUGCAGGAGAGGUAAGUGGAAUUCCUAGUGUAGCGGUGAAAUGCGUAGAUAUUAGGAGGAACACCAGUGGCGAAGGCGGCUUACUGGACUGUAACUGACGUUGAGGCUCGAAAGCGUGGGGAGCAAACAGGAUUAGAUACCCUGGUAGUC
RNAcentral lists this ribosomal RNA (440 nucleotides) under uncultured bacterium. RNAcentral's name for it is "partial 16S ribosomal RNA". It matches the Rfam family "Bacterial small subunit ribosomal RNA", at positions 338 to 795 of the family's 1533-position model. The record is from RNAcentral.